Magnolia sinica is the source of this 1019-nucleotide long non-coding RNA. RefSeq lists it as uncharacterized. The record is from RefSeq and is a predicted model, not a curated record. The transcript has 3 exons. NCBI's taxonomy places the organism in Eukaryota, Viridiplantae, Streptophyta, Magnoliopsida, Magnoliales, Magnoliaceae.
CAUUACAUCCACCAACCAGCUUGUUGAAGAAAUGAAUGGCUAUUUAAAUCAAAUUUAUUUUUCUUUAAGAACUAUUGUUGCUCCUUAUGUUCAAUUUUUGUUUUCUCGUGACACUUCUUUGCAGGUUCAUCAACAUAAUUUUUGCUCAAAUUAUAAAAACCAUACUAAUGAUAAUUUUUGUUUCUUUUUUUGUCCGUUAAAUUAUAGAAACCAUACUAAUGAUGAUUUCCAACUUCAUGCAUAUGCCGCUUUUGGGAUUUGAAAGUUUAAUAACUGGGGAACUCAUUGUGGAGCCCCAGUGUUCCUUCUCUUCUUUCCAAGUCAUCAAUAUUCUUUUGUUUCCUAUGGUGUGGCCUACCUAGUUUUUGGAAUACUGCACUUUUUAGGUAGUUCUUUCAUCUUGACAAGGAACAUUAGAAGAAUGGUUUUAAUGUAAUCUGCAGGUUUGUGGGAGAUACGUGUGCAUUGACAACUAAUAUUUUAAUGGGGUGGAUCUUAUGAAAGUUCCACCCAAGGGGCUAUCAGUUUGUUAGCCUGGUUCUUUUUGGAUUAUGGGAGAUAUGUGUGCAUUGACAACUAAUAUUUUAAUGUAAUCUGCUGGUUUAUGGCUAAUGAUGGGAAGAUGAAGCUGAAGGCAAUGCUUCUAACCCAUUCCUCUUUAGAAAUACAUUCUAGAAAACUUCAGAACUUUGGUCUGACUUCUAUUCUUGAUUAUACAUGCAAUGCCAUUCCAAAUCAGCCUGGAAAAUUUCACAGGAGAUGCAUUUUCGCACCUAGCAAGUGAACAAGUUUGCCUCGCUUGGUCUAGAACGAGCUCCCCUCGGGUCAAGAGUGCAUCGAGCAUGUCCAAAAACCAGUUAGGUACAUAAAAGGCCAUCACAUUGUGGAGCUCUUCAUCUGCUUGACGGACCUUCAUUGAAUUGUCUUUUUAUUUUGAAGUCUUCCAUUGUAGAUUUUAGUUUUUACAGUCAGGUUUGCAAGUCAGAUAAAUAAUGUUUCAAAUUACAUCAUGGUUGUUU